UGGGGAAUUUUGCACAAUGGGGGAAACCCUGAUGCAGCGACGCCGCGUGAUUAAGAAAGUCUUCGGAUUGUAAAAAUCUUUUGUAUAGGAAGAAGAUGACAGUACUAUACGAAUAAGGUCCGGCUAAUUACGUGCCAGCAGCCGCGGUAAUACGUAAGGACCAAGCGUUGUCCGGAAUCAUUGGGCGUAAAGGGUACGUAGGCGGCCCGUUAAGUUAGAAGUGAAAGGCUAUAGCUCAACUAUAGUAAGCUUUUAAAACUGUCGGGCUUGAGAGAUUGAGGGGAAAGUGGAAUUCCUAGUGUAGCGGUGAAAUGCGCAGAUAUUAGGAGGAAUACCAGUGGCGAAGGCGACUUUCUGGCAAUCAUCAGACGCUGAGGUACGAAAGCGUGGGUAGCAAACA
This 400-nucleotide ribosomal RNA is filed under the name uncultured Anaerococcus sp. RNAcentral's name for it is "bacterial SSU rRNA". It matches the Rfam family "Bacterial small subunit ribosomal RNA", at positions 355 to 774 of the family's 1533-position model. Lineage: Bacteria; Bacillati; Bacillota; Tissierellia; Tissierellales; Peptoniphilaceae. The record is from RNAcentral.